UAGAUUCACGUACUCAGCUGACUUCACUUUAUUGCUGCGUAACGCUGCUGAGCUGUAAUACUGAUCCAAUCAUUGGCUCUUAAGUAAUCGCUGAUUUAAAUUCAAACAGUGACGUUUUUUUGGCCAGUGUAGAAAACAAAAACGCAAUUAUUCAAAUACUGAGUGCUAUUAAAUGGAACUACCUACAGCUAGAGUGAAACAAUAUGAAUUGUGAGCAAGCUGCUGGUAGCAGUAUGCUUAAUUAGUAUGCUUAAUUAGUAUGCUUAAUGAGUAUGCUUCAUUUGUAGACACUGUCCUAAGAGAAGAGAAAUGAGAGAAUUGAGGAAACAGGUAUCGAAACCAAUAAUGGGCUGGAUUAUUGUGUGCUGUCAAUCACUAUGAGGUUUAACCCAAUGGGAACCUAUAAAGUACUGUAGUCCCACCCACUACAUUCCCCACAUUAUCACACUUAAGACUGAAUUCAGAUCAUGCAUUGUGUCCAUUACUACAUGGAAAAUGAAGUAUGUAUGGCACAUUCGCCCUAGUGUGGCCGCGGCAGCACACUAUCCAACCCGGACCUAUACAUAGAAAAAGCAGAAGCAGCAGGAGUAGCAGCCAGCUGGCGUAAUCCAAUCACUGGGGAAGCUCGCUGCAGACUCACAACUACGAUAAAAACUGGGAUCACAGGCACACGAGCACAUAUUGUAAUCAUGUCUUUUUUAUAUGGGAAUCACAGCAAACACGGCACACCGAUUUAAUGAUGGCGCAGAAGUGCAGGGCAGCCCCGUUAAGACAGCGCACUAAUAAACAUCUCAGAAAUAAACGCCUUUCACACAUGAAAAUCUAGAAGAACAGAGACAGUAGGUUCUUUCUUUAAUGAGUCUGCUUCCCACAUUCUGUCAUUCACAAGAGAUUUUAGAUCAAAACCAAAAACCAAACAGAUACAUGUACACAACAGUCCAAGUCAAAUACCCCUUGAUCUAAGUUCUUAAGCUGAAUUAAGUACACACCUUCCUCUAUGAAAGAGCAACACUUCUGGCAAAAAUAUCUGCCAAGGAACUCCAAUAAAACAAAAUGGUGCUUUGUGUGUCCAUCUGCAUAAGGUGCUAUUUACGAGGAGCUACUGUGCAUAAGGAUGCCGCUGGGGAUAUUUUGGACUAGCGGUCCCUGUAAUGCUGGUACUAUAAUUACACCACUUGUACAGCACUAGUUAAUUUUAAAGCAUGAGUGCAUUCCAAUAUUAACCCCUUCAAAGCUAGAUAGAGUGGGAACACUCGACUUGUGAAAGAGCAUGCCUUUGCUGCAUUUGCAAAAGCACCUCAUGAGAAUUUAAUUUAAAUUAUGUUCUAUUGUUAGUCCUCACCAAGAAAAGCAGAUCCAAGUGUGUUUAAGGACUUUUUUGGUUUAUCCAUUUAAUGCAAUACUUGAGAAUUUAGAAUAAAAUUUCAUUAAGAUGACUGCAAUAAAUGUUUAUGGUGUAGUAUCAGUAUACCCAGUCACCUGGAAAUGUUAUUUAAGACUAACUUAAGACUUACGGGUAUCAUUUCAAAACAUUGACCGCAUGCGAGUGCAGACUGACAGAUCACGUGCUCAGCGGAAGCACGUCGAUGCGUCUUUCCCUGCAGCGCCGCGGAGACGCGAAGGUCGGAAUUGCUGAGGGAGACUGAAUGACAGCGACCCCGAAACUCCUUCCCACCCCAUGCGGCUCGACAAUCCAAAAACCUAGAAAUUUCCACCGCAGCGGCCACACGGCCUAUGCUUCGGCCGACUAUACAGACCGCUUAUCGCAACACCACCACCCCCCCCACCCCGAAUGCAGCCGGCUACAAGCUGCUGGAAUGUUCUGCGGGCGGCAUGUAAAAAUAGACAACGACGCUAGUUAGCAGCAAACUGGCAUCCCGUCCACGGCGUCUCUUGCCUUGUCCUCCUUGGGAUAGACCCCAGGCUGACGGAAGCCCGUCCUGGAUUAGCUCUAAGAUCCAAAACAUUGUGACUGGGAGGAAGGCUUGACUCCCUCCAGCAUGUACAGUCAGAAAGUGUACAUCGACCAGGAGCAACGAUAAGGUCAAGACGGAGAGGAAGGCUCUGUCACUUAUUUGUGGCAUAACUGCUUGCACUGUAUUGUUCGCGCAACGCCUGCUGUGCUACUCACCCAACCUAUUCAAACAGCAAAUUAAGCUGUAGUUUUCACUACUGACACACCACUACAUGGCUUAAGAGAUGCGUUACUGUAAAUUUUAUCUCAAUACUGUUCUCUCCAGACAUGUUCAGAUGAGACACGUAAUUUUGCAGGAAUGUGACACGAUGCAUGACCUCAACGAACGCACAAGUCACUGUCUACUUUCCUAUGCUUAGGAAUCUCCCCAUAUUCACACU
Molecule: long non-coding RNA, 2355 nt
Organism: Paramormyrops kingsleyae
Lineage: Eukaryota; Metazoa; Chordata; Actinopteri; Osteoglossiformes; Mormyridae
Source: RefSeq, a predicted model, not a curated record